ACUCCUACGGGAGGCAGCAGUGGGGAAUAUUGCACAAUGGGCGCAAGCCUGAUGCAGCCAUGCCGCGUGUGUGAAGAAGGCCUUCGGGUUGUAAAGCACUUUCAGUCAGGAGGAAAGGUUAGUAGUUAAUACCUGCUAGCUGUGACGUUACUGACAGAAGAAGCACCGGCUAANNCCNNG
This 180-nucleotide ribosomal RNA is filed under the name uncultured Gammaproteobacteria bacterium. RNAcentral's name for it is "partial 16S ribosomal RNA". It matches the Rfam family "Bacterial small subunit ribosomal RNA", at positions 335 to 507 of the family's 1533-position model. Lineage: Bacteria; Pseudomonadati; Pseudomonadota; Gammaproteobacteria. The record is from RNAcentral.